Molecule: ribosomal RNA, 253 nt
Filed under: uncultured bacterium
Lineage: Bacteria
Description: partial 16S ribosomal RNA
Rfam family: Bacterial small subunit ribosomal RNA
Source: RNAcentral
UACAGAGGUCUCAAGCGUUGUUCGGAUUCAUUGGGCGUAAAGGGUGCGUAGGCGGCGCGGUAAGUCGGGUGUGAAAUCUCGGAGCUUAACUCCGAAACUGCAUUCGAUACUGCCGUGCUUGAGGACUGGAGAGGAGACUGGAAUUCCUGGUGUAGCGGUGAAAUGCGCAGAUAUCAGGAGGAACACCGGUGGCGAAGGCGGUUCUCUGGGCAUGUCCUGACGCUGAGGAGCGAAAGUGUGGGGAGCGAACAGG